GUGUGUGUAUACACCACAUUUUCUUUAUCCAUUCAUCCGUUGAUGGACAUUUGGGCUCUUUCCAUAAUUUGGCUAUUGUUGACAGCAGUGCUAUAAACAUUGGGGAUGCAAUUGCUAUCAAAAUAACCUCAGUAUUUUUCACAGGGCUAGAACAAAUAAUUCUAAAAUUUGUAUGGAGCCAGAAAAGACCCAAAUAGCCAAAGCAAUCCUGAAAAAGAAAACCAAAGCAGGAGGCAUCACAAUCCCAGAAUUCAAGCUAUACUACAAAGCUGUAAUCAUCAAGACAGUAUGGUACUGGCACAAAAACAGACAUUCACAUCAAUGGAACAGAAUAGAGAACCCAGAAAUGGACCCACAAAUGUAUGGCCAACUAAUCUUUGACAAAGCAGGAAAGAAUAUUCAAUGAAAAAAGACUGUCUUUUCAGCACAUAGUGCUGGGAAAACUGGACAGCGACAUGCAAAAGAAUGAAACUGGACCACUUUCUUACACCACACACAAAAAUAAACUCAAAUAGAUAAAAGACUUAAAUUUAAGACAGGAAACCAUCAAAGUCAUAUAGGAGAAAACAGGCAGCAACCUCUUUGACAUUGGCUGCAACAGCUUCUUACUAGACAUGUCUCUGGAGGCAAGGGAAACAGAGGCAAAAAUGAACUAUUGGGACCUCAUCAAGAUAAAAAGCUUCUGCCCAGCAAAGGAAACAACAAAACUAAAAGGCAACUGACAAAAUGGGAGAAGGUAUUUGCAAAUGACAUAUUGGAUAAAGGGUUAGUAUCCAAAAUCUAUAAUUCUGUUUUUUCUUUUUAGUGUGAUACAGCUAACAUUUCUUUAUAUAUUGCCUUGCAUAAAUAAUAUCCACCAACAUAGUAAAAAUGAUGGAAAAUAAAGUUUUACCAUCCACACAUUUUGCAGGUUGGGGAUAUUAAAAUUGCUGCCAGCAUGAACCUGACUCCUCAUUCUGUUUACCUGCAGGGACAAAGGUAAUAAGGAAUCUGGGAGUAUGGCAGAGGCUGAGGUCGAGACAGGCAAGCAUGUUCUUCUGUGUUUCUUAAGUUCAGCCUGGCCAUCAGGGAACCUUUGGUCCCCAAGUGACCUGGGUGAAUAGCAUCCAAGUGGUCAACUUUGAGCAUGAAAGUGUAAAGGAUUUUGCCUGUUCCCAACUGAGGGAGAGAAAGAUCAGAAGUACAUUUCACUUGCAUCUACUUGAAUAAAUGAAUUUGGCCAAAAAACAAAGCACAAAAAAGAACAAAGAUAUUAAAUAAUGUAGCCAACUGUGCCUGAUGAUCUGGACAGGGAGCAGAUGCCCUGGAAUGAGAGAGAAGUGACUGAUCUCCCAGUCAGUCUUGGUCCUUGUCUCUCAGAGUGCUGGAGCAAAUGUGUGCACCUCUUCCCAACUCUGUGUUCGGUGACGAUCACGUUGGUGGCCUGAAAUUGGCUGUGCAUCUGCACCAUGGAUAUAAGCAAGUGCUACAAAUGGGGAUGCUCUGUUGCAGACAGUUGGUUUACCUGCCUAACCUGCCUCCUGUAGUGGGGACACCUGGACACACUGAAGGUGCUUCUGGCAUCUAAAGAAUGCUGGAUAUAAAUCAAAGACUUGGAAUAAUCCAAGAAGCAUUUAUCCAAGACAAGUUGCUGAAUCAAGGGCCAUGUGAAGGCUUUCUCUGAAAAAGCUCGUCUAAUCCCACAGCUCCAGUUACCAAAUCUGUGCUGAUUUUUCUAGAACUUAGUCUCCAGCCUAAGUCUUUCUCUGAAGCUCCAGUGCCUUAUACCCAAUGGCCUCCUGAACAACUCCCCUAGGAUAUUCUGCAGGUUCUUUUGUGUUUGGCUAUUUUACUUAGCAUAAGGUCCUAUAUCCCUGCUGUAGGAGGUGUCAGAAUUUCCUUCCUUCUUAAGGCAGAAUAAUAUUCCAUGACUUCCUAGUGGGUGUGGAGUGGUAUCUCAUUGUGGUUUUGAUUUUCCUGAUGGCCAGUGAUGGUAGCCAUUGCGCCAUCAGCCGGGCUCCUGGAAGGGAAUCAAGUGGAGCAGACCAGAAUCUAAGACCAACGCAAGCCUGGCCAACCCACGUGCAGCACACAGACCAGUGAGAGAAAAAAAAGUAUCUGUCACUGUAAAUCACUGAUGGUUGAGGCUUGUUUGUUAUAGAACAUUUUUGCAGCAAAACCUGACCAAUAGAAUCAUUGAGAAACUAACUGUUCCUA
Long non-coding RNA from Neofelis nebulosa (Clouded leopard), 2196 nucleotides. RefSeq lists it as uncharacterized. The record is from RefSeq and is a predicted model, not a curated record. Lineage: Eukaryota; Metazoa; Chordata; Mammalia; Carnivora; Felidae. The transcript is spliced from 6 exons.